RNAcentral lists this ribosomal RNA (406 nucleotides) under uncultured bacterium. RNAcentral describes it as "partial 16S ribosomal RNA". It matches the Rfam family "Bacterial small subunit ribosomal RNA", at positions 30 to 526 of the family's 1533-position model. The record is from RNAcentral.
AUUGAAUGCUGGCGGCAGGCCUAACACAUGCAAGUCGAACGAGUGGCGGACGGGUGAGUAAUGUCUGGGAAACUGCCUGAUGGAGGGGGAUAACUACUGGAAACGGUAGCUAAUACCGCAUACCAUCGGAUGUGCCCAGAUGGGAUUAGCUAGUAGGUGGGGUAACGGCUCACCUAGGCGACGAUCCCUAGCUGGUCUGAGAGGAUAACCAGCCACGCUGGAACUGAGACACGGUCCAGACUCCUACGGAAGGCAGCAGUGGGGAAUAUUGCACAAUGGGCACAAGCCUGAUACAGCCAUGCCGCGUGUGUGGAGAAAGCCAUCGGAUUGUAAAGUACUUUCAGCGGGGAGGCAUUACCCGCAGAAGAAGCACCGGCUAACUCCGUGCCAGCAGCCGCGGUAAUUC